This 3097-nucleotide long non-coding RNA is filed under the name Sus scrofa (pig). Its description in RNAcentral is "lncRNA (ENSSSCG00060031054.1)". The record is from RNAcentral. Lineage: Eukaryota; Metazoa; Chordata; Mammalia; Artiodactyla; Suidae.
UAUAUGGAAGUUCCUGGGCUAGCGAUCGAAUCUGAGCUACAGCUGCCUGGCAAUGCCACAGCCAUAGCAACGCAGGAUCUGAGCCACCUCUGAGACCUACACCACAGCUCAUGACAAUGCCAGAUCCCUGACCCACUGAGUGAAGGCAGGGCUUGAACCUGUAUCCUCAUGGAUACUAGUUGGAUUCUUUUCCACUGUGCCACAAAGGGAACUCCCUGAAUAAAGCUUGUCUUUUAUUCUAGGUGUAGAGAUUGUGCUUGUCAGAUAUUUGAUUUGGUAGAGUAACAUGCUUACAAAACCUUUUUAUACAAAAGUAAUUAAGGUGUCUACCACAAAAUCAGCUGUCCUCAGGAAUGUUGAGAGUAAAAUAGAGGACCUUAAUAAUUAACCAUCUCCGAGCCAACAAACAUCUAAGAAUCCUUAAGAUUUCACCUGGGAGGACAUUUUGGGGAUGAUUAGGUUAAAUUAUUAGAAAGAUGCUUUACUAUAAAUCAAAACAUACCACUUACUUCUGAAAUACAUUUUUUUAAAAAAGGCCUAGUGAUCUGUUGGACAAAGCUGAAAUGAGGCUGUAAUAUAAACAGUGGCCCUGAAGUUAUUUCAAAAUCGCAAGGCUAUAUGCCUGGAGUCCUUUCAUAGAAUGGUAGAAUUCCCUUUGGGGGAAUUUUAUGUACAUCAUACAUUUGGUAUAAAUGAAUUGACUAAAUAAUGAAUGUACCAAGGACCUUGUGAUGAGCUAUAAAUCUGAUUUAAAAUCCCUAAGUUGAGAAAAAAUCCUCAGAUUCUAUUUGGAAAUCAACAACCCUUAGGGAGUUGAGUCAAAUUCUGUUAGGUUAGAUCUAUAGUUGCUUUGAGUGUGAAAACACAAUUUUUCAAAUUUAAAUAAAUUUGGGAGUUCCUCUGUGGCUCAGCAGGUUAAGAACCCAGCAUUUUCAUUGCUGUGGCUUGGGGUCACUGCUAGGGCGGGUACAGUCCCUAGCCUGGGAACUUCCAUAUGCCACAGGCACGGCCAAAGGGAAAAAAGGAUUGAAAUAAACUAUUUUGGAAGAGUGUGAAAUACAAAGAAAUGUUGUAGAAAUAGUAGAAUUCCUGCCCGAUUUCCCUGUUGUUUACAUCUUACAUUGCUAUAUUUGUCACAACUAAUGUAAGUAACCAUUAACUAAAUUCCAUACUUCUUUCAGAUUUUUAGCCUUUUCCCUUUUUCUUUCAUUCCAGUAUGCCAAGUUACGUUUGGUCAUUGUGUCUGCUUAACCUCAGUUUUUUUUGAUUUUUGAUGACCCUGACAGUUUUAAGGAGCACUGGUCAGGUAUUUCAUUGGUGUCCCUCGUUGGAGUUUUCCAAGGUUUCUGUCAUGGUUAGACUGGGCUUACUGUUUUGGGGGGGAGGAAGAACACUAGGUGUCAUUCUCACUCUGUUCAUCUCAUCAAGGAUUUAUGUUAACAUGCCUCACCACUGACCAUGUGGGUUUUGAUCACCUGGCCAAAAUAGUGUUUCCUAGGGUACUCUAAAGUUCCUUUUUUCGGAGUUCCUGUCGUGGUUCAGUGGUUAAUGAAUCCAACUAGAAACCAUGAGGGAAAGGAAAAAGGAAAGGAAAAAGGAAAGGAAAGGAAAGGAAAAAGGAAAGGAAAGGGGAAAGGAAAGGAAAGGAAAAAGGAAAGGAAAGGAAAAAGGAAAGGAAAAAGGAAAGGAAAGGAAAGGAAAAAGGAAAGGAAAAAGGAAAGGAAAGGAAAGGAAAAAGGAAAGGAAAGGGGAAAGGAAAGGAAAGGAAAGGGGAAAGAAAAGGAAAAGGGAAAGGAAAGGAAAAGGGAAAGGAAAGGAAAGGAAAAAGGAAAGGAAAGGAAAGGAAAAAGGAAAGGAAAGGAAAAGAAAGAAAGAAAAGAAAGAAAGAAAAGAAAGAAAAAAUCCUUUGGCCAUAUAUGUGAGUUUAUUUUUAUGUUCCUAAUUCUAGUCAAUUGGUCAAUGUGUAUUUAUGCUAGUACCAUACUAUUUAGAUCACUGUUGCCUUUUUUUUUUUGGCUUGUUUUUUCAUUACCUUCACCUGUUUCUUUUUCUUUACCUUUUUUCUUUUUUGGCCACCCUGAGGCUUAUGGAGUUCCCUGGCCAGGGAUCAGAUCUGAGCUACAGUUUCAACCUGUGCCAUAGCUAUGGCAAUGCCAGAUCCUUUAACCCACUGUGCUGGGCCUGGGAUCGAACCUGUAUCCUGGUGCUUCAGAGACACUGCAGAUUACGUUGUGCCACAGCGGUAACUCUGAUCACUGUAGCUUUGUAAUAGGUUUUGAAAUCAGAAUAGACAUUCAACUUUGUUCUUUUUCAAGUUUCAGCUAUUUAGGCAUCCCUUUUAAGUUCCACAUGAAUGCUUCUACUUAGGCACAAUAUAUUGGGAUUUCUGAUAGAGAUUACAUUGAUUCUGUAGAUGAUUUUUGGUAGUAGUGACUUUUUUUUUUUUUUUUUUUUUUUUUUUUGUCUUUUGUCUUUAUAGGGCCGCACCCUUGGCAUAUGGAGGUUCUCAGGCUAGGGGUCUAAUUGGAGCUGUAGCCAUCGGCCUACGCCAGGGCCACAGCAGCAUGGGAUCCGAGCUGCGUCUGAGACCUACACCAUAGCUCACGGCAAUGCCGGAUCCUUAACCCACUGAACAAGGCCAGGGAUUGAACCCGCAACCUCAUGGUUCCUAGUCUGAUUCGUUUCCGUUGAGACACAAUGGGAACUCUGUAGUGACCUUUUAAAGGUAAUAAUAAGUCUAACAAUUCAUGAAGUGUCUUUCCAUGUAUUGGUAUCUUUAGUUUCUUUUGGCAGUGUUUCAUCAUUUUCAGUGUACAAAUCUUUUGCUUCUGUGGUUACGUUUAUUCCUAAGUAUGUUAUUCUUGGUGAUGCAAUUUUAAAUGGUGGAAAGCACGAUUUUUAAGGAUGAAAGGCUUAACAUUAAGUCAAGGUAUUCACGACUUGGUCUCCUUGCUUUUGUGGACAGCUGCACUAAUAACAGAUCUUUGGAACUCUGGUUUUAAAAGAAAAAAAUGGCAAAUAGCUUGUGUGCACCUCAAAAAUCAAAUCUCAAGUGGCUAAGUAGUUACUCCUCCUUACAUUCCAUGUGCAGAGCAGC